UAGGGAAUCUUCGGCAAUGGACGAAAGUCUGACCGAGCAACGCCGCGUGAGUGAAGAAGGUUUUCGGAUCGUAAAACUCUGUUGUUAGAGAAGAACAAGGGUGAGAGUAACUGUUCAUCCCUUGACGGUAUCUAACCAGAAAGCCACGGCUAACUACGUGCCAG
This 164-nucleotide ribosomal RNA is filed under the name uncultured bacterium. RNAcentral describes it as "partial 16S ribosomal RNA". It matches the Rfam family "Bacterial small subunit ribosomal RNA", at positions 355 to 511 of the family's 1533-position model. The record is from RNAcentral.